UUAUCUAUUAUUAUUGUUUAAUUACAUAGUUUUAACUAUUUACAAGUAUUUACAUUUGUUUAACGUGUGCUAAAUUAACAUAAUCUAAAAGUUAAAUAUUGGGAUUUAAGAAUUGAUAGCGAUGGAUUGGAAAAUCUAUAUUUUUACCUACCCCUGUUAUUAAUCUCAUACAACUGCAAAUAACAAUGUUAUCCCAGGGUUUACAAAUACAGUGUGAAAUAUGAUUUAACAGGAUUACAUAAUUUCCCUGGGUGAUUAUGUCUGAAAGGCCCAACGGAAGUCUUCGGUGGCAGAUCUGCUCAGGUGUCACUGGUUCUACUCGACCAGCCCAGAGCGGGAUUUGAACCAGCGAUCCCCAGAAUGGGAGUCAGACGUGCUAGCAAGAGGCUAUAAAAGCCAUGGACUCUAGCCACGGACUCUAGUGCGUCUCAUAAGGCCAGAAGUGUGAGGUUUACACACUGCACAGCUAUGACAUACCAGCUGGCUACCGUUACACUCACCCCCUAAACCUCACUCUCUUCCGGGUCACGGCACCAGUGUAACCGGUCCUACUCGACCCAUUCCAAGCGGGAUUAAAACCAGUGAUCCCCAGCAUGGGAGUCGGAUGCACUAGCAAGGAGGCUAUAUAAGCCAUGGCCUCUAUCCUCGGUCGCUAGUGCGUCUCAUAAGGCCAGGAGUGUGAGGUUUACACACUGUAAAGCUAUCAUGUACCAGCUGACUACCAUUACACAGGAACAGGAGUCAAACUGCUCAACUCUGCUGCGGUCCAGGGGAAAUGAAAGGAGACACACUUGUGCUAGAGCCAAGGAAAAUAAACAGUGUGAGAAAGUUUGAGUAAGAACCUUUCGCACACGCCCCCAGACCCCCACCCCAUCUGUCUGCGAUCUACACGAGGCCGGGAACAGGAACAAUGGGACGCCAUUAUUGGGUCACGUGCAGAGAGAGAGAGAGAGAGAGAGAGAGAGAAAAUCUAAUUCCUCUGGAAAGUAGUAUGCUAACACGGCAAGCUCCACCACCCCACCAUCACCAGUUGAGUCCCGUCCUGCACAGGGGUAGGCUCCUCGCCCCUGCCUCCUAUCUCCGGCAGUAUAUGACGGUUCAGAGUACAACUUCUUUGGACUGCCAG
Molecule: long non-coding RNA, 1126 nt
Organism: Xyrauchen texanus (razorback sucker)
Lineage: Eukaryota; Metazoa; Chordata; Actinopteri; Cypriniformes; Catostomidae
Exons: 3
Source: RefSeq, a predicted model, not a curated record